RNAcentral lists this long non-coding RNA (202 nucleotides) under Mytilus galloprovincialis (Mediterranean mussel). Lineage: Eukaryota; Metazoa; Mollusca; Bivalvia; Mytilida; Mytilidae. The record is from RNAcentral.
AAUAAAAUUAAGAAGGGAAAUGGGGAAUGUGUCAAAGCGACAACAACCCGACCAUAGAGCAGACAACAGCCGAAGGCCACCAGCGGGUCUUCAAUGUAGCGAGAAUUCCCGUACCCGUAGGUGUCCUUCAGCUGGCCCCUAAAAAUAUGUAUACUAGUACAGUGAUAAUGGACGUCAUACUAAACUCCGAAUUAUACACAAG